UAUGGGAGAGUGUAUUCAGCACGUUAGUUUUUGGUACUAAGAGUAAACGUAGUUUUCUCAUAA
RNAcentral lists this transfer RNA (63 nucleotides) under Discocelis tigrina. RNAcentral describes it as "tRNA-Gln". The record is from RNAcentral. Lineage: Eukaryota; Metazoa; Platyhelminthes; Polycladida; Discocelidae.